GACUACCUACGGGGGGCAGCAGUGGGGAAUAUUGCACAAUGGGGGAAACCCUGAUGCAGCGACGCCGCGUGAGUGAGGAAGUAUUUCGGUAUGUAAAGCUCUCUCAGCAGGGAAGAAGAUGACAGUACCUCAGGAGGAAGCUCCGGCUAACUAUGUGCCAGCAGCCGCGGUAAUACAUAGGGAGCAAGCGUUAUCCGGAAUUAUUGGGUGUAAAGGGUGCGUAGACGGGAAAUUAAGUUAGUUGUGAAAUCCCUUGGCUUAACUGAGGAACUGCAACUAAAACUGAUUUUCUUGAGUACUGGAGA
RNAcentral lists this ribosomal RNA (305 nucleotides) under uncultured bacterium. RNAcentral's name for it is "bacterial SSU rRNA". It matches the Rfam family "Bacterial small subunit ribosomal RNA", at positions 334 to 655 of the family's 1533-position model. The record is from RNAcentral.